GAUAAACGCUGGCGGCGUGCCUAACACAUGCAAGUCGAACGAUCCCGCAAGGGAGAGUGGCGGAAGGGUGAGUAACACGUGGGAAUCUACCUCCUCGCAGGGGAACAACCUCUCGAAAGAGAGGCUAAUACCCAAAAGGGUCAGAAAUGAUCAGAGUCGAAAGGCGUGAGGAGAGGAGCCCGCGGCCCAUCAGCUAGUUGGUGAGGUAAUGGCUUACCAAGGCUACGACGGGUAGGGGAUCUGAGAGGAUGUCCCCCACACUGGAACUGAAACACGGUCCAGACGCCUACGGGUGGCAGCAGUGAGGAAUAUUGGACAAUGGGCGAAAGCCCGAUCCAGCAACGCCGCGUGGAGGAUGAAGGCCUUCGGGUCGUAAACUUCUUUAGAGGGAGACGAGAAAGGACGGUAUCCCUAGAAUAAGCGACGGCAAACUACGUGCCAGCAGCCGCGGUAAU
This 455-nucleotide ribosomal RNA is filed under the name uncultured bacterium. Its description in RNAcentral is "bacterial SSU rRNA". It matches the Rfam family "Bacterial small subunit ribosomal RNA", at positions 28 to 524 of the family's 1533-position model. The record is from RNAcentral.